RNAcentral lists this transfer RNA (70 nucleotides) under bovine gut metagenome. It matches the Rfam family "tRNA". Rfam says of the family: Transfer RNA (tRNA) molecules are approximately 80 nucleotides in length. Their secondary structure includes four short double-helical elements and three loops (D, anti-codon, and T loops). Further hydrogen bonds mediate the characteristic L-shaped molecular structure. tRNAs have two regions of fundamental functional importance: the anti-codon, which is responsible for specific mRNA codon recognition, and the 3' end, to which the tRNAs corresponding amino acid is attached (by aminoacyl-tRNA synthetases). tRNAs cope with the degeneracy of the genetic code in two manners: having more than one tRNA (with a specific anti-codon) for a particular amino acid; and 'wobble' base-pairing, i.e. permitting non-standard base-pairing at the 3rd anti-codon position. The record is from RNAcentral.
CGAAAUAGCUCAAUUGGUAGAGCAACUGACUUGUAAUCAGUAGGUUACGGGUCCAAUUCCUGUUUUCGGC